GGAUAACGUGCCCUAGAGUGGAGGAUAAUCUCGGGAAAUUGAGGAUAAUACUCCAUAGAUCAUGAAUUCUGGAACGACUCAUGGUUGAAAGUUCCGGCGCUCUAGGAUCGGUCUGCGGCCUAUCAGGUAGUAGUGGGUGUAACGGACCCACUAGCCGACGACGGGUAUGGGCCUUGAGAGAGGGAGCCCAGAGAUGGAAUCUGAGACACGAUUCCAGGCCCUACGGGGCGCAGCAGUCGCGAAAACUUCACAAUGGAGGCAACUCCGAUGAGGGAAUUCCAAGUGCUAGCACAUUAGUGUUAGCUUUUCUUAAGCAUAGAUAACUUAAGGAAUAAGGGCUGGGUAAGACGGGUGCCAGCCGCCGCGGUAAUACCCGCAGCCCAAGUGGUGGUCGAUUUUAUUGAGUCUAAAACGUUCGUAGCCGGUUCAUUAAAUCCUUGGGUAAAUCGGAUAGCUUAACUACCCGAAUUCCGGGGAGACUGGUGAACUUGGGACCGGGAGAGGCAAGAGGUACUUUUGGGGUAGGGGUAAAAUCCUGUAAUCCUAAAAGGACCACCGGUGGCGAAGGCGUCUUGCUAGAACGGAUCCGACGGUGAGGGACGAAGCCCUGGGUCGCAAACGGGAUUAGAUACCCCGGUAGUCCAGGGUGUAAACGCUGCAGACUUGGUGUUGGGGACCCUUCGGGGGUGUUCAGUGCCGGAGAGAAGUUGUUAAGUCUGCUACUUGGGGAGUACGUCCGCAAGGAUGAAACUUA
This 754-nucleotide ribosomal RNA is filed under the name uncultured archaeon. Its description in RNAcentral is "bacterial SSU rRNA". It matches the Rfam family "Archaeal small subunit ribosomal RNA", at positions 102 to 858 of the family's 1478-position model. The record is from RNAcentral.